UACAGAGGGUGCGAGCGUUAAUCGGAAUUACUGGGCGUAAAGCGCGCGUAGGCGGCUUUGCAAGUCGGGUGUGAAAUCCCCAGGCUUAACCUGGGAACUGCAUUCGAGACUGCAUUGCUAGAGUAUGGGAGAGGGAAGUGGAAUUUCCGGUGUAGCGGUGAAAUGCGUAGAUAUCGGAAGGAACAUCAGUGGCGAAAGCGACUUCCUGGACCAAUACUGACGCUCAUGUGCGAAAGCGUGGGGAGCAAACAGA
Molecule: ribosomal RNA, 253 nt
Filed under: uncultured bacterium
Lineage: Bacteria
Description: partial 16S ribosomal RNA
Rfam family: Bacterial small subunit ribosomal RNA
Source: RNAcentral